GACGAACGCUGGCGGCGUGCUUAACACAUGCAAGUCGAACGGAAAGGCCCUGCUUUUGUGGGGUGCUCGAGUGGCGAACGGGUGAGUAACACGUGAGUAACCUGCCCUUGACUUUGGGAUAACUUCAGGAAACUGGGGCUAAUACCGGAUAGGAGCUCCUGCUGCAUUGUGGGGGGUGGAAAGUUUCGGCGGGUGGGGAUGGACUCGCGGCUUAUCAGCUUGUUGGUGGGGUAGUGGCUUACCAAGGCUUUGACGGGUAGCCGGCCUGAGAGGGUGACCGGCCACAUUGGGACUGAGAUACGGACCAGACUCCUACGGGAGGCAGCAGUGGGGAAUAUUGCACAAUGGGCGGAAGCCUGAUGCAGCAACGCCGCGUGCGGGAUGACGGCCUUCGGGUUGUAAACCGCUUUCGCCUGUGACGAAGCGUGAGUGACGGUAAUGGGUAAAGAAGCACCGGCUAACUACGUG
Molecule: ribosomal RNA, 468 nt
Filed under: uncultured bacterium
Lineage: Bacteria
Description: partial 16S ribosomal RNA
Rfam family: Bacterial small subunit ribosomal RNA
Source: RNAcentral